CAAUAGCGUAUAUUUAAGUUGCUGCAGUUAAAAAGCUCGUAGUUGGAUUUCGGGUGGGAAUGGCCGGUCCGCCGUUUCGGUGUGCACUUGCUACGCCCACCUUGCUGCCGGGGACUUGCUCUUGAGUUCACGCUCGGGACACGGAGUCGGCGAGGUUACUUUGAGUAAAUUAGAGUGUUCAAAGCAGGCCUACGCUCUGAAUACAUUAGCAUGGAAUAACACGAUAGGACUCUGGCCUAUCUUGUUGGUCUGUAGGACCGGAGUAAUGAUUAAGAGGGACAGUCGGGGGCAUUCGUAUUUCAUUGUCAGAGGUGAAAUUCUUGGAUUUAUGAAAGACGAACUACUGCGAAAGCAUUUGCCAAGGAUGUUUUCAUUAA
Molecule: ribosomal RNA, 377 nt
Filed under: uncultured eukaryote
Lineage: Eukaryota
Description: partial 18S ribosomal RNA
Rfam family: Eukaryotic small subunit ribosomal RNA
Source: RNAcentral